Molecule: ribosomal RNA, 572 nt
Filed under: uncultured bacterium
Lineage: Bacteria
Description: bacterial SSU rRNA
Rfam family: Bacterial small subunit ribosomal RNA
Source: RNAcentral
ACGCUGGCGGCGUGCCUACACAUGCAGUCGAGCGAGAAAGUCCCUUCGGGGGCGAGUAGAGCGGCGGACGGGUGAGUAAUACGUGGGUAAUCUGCCCUCGAGCCUGGGAUAACCCCGCGAAAGUGGGGCUAAUACCGGAUAAGACCACGUGACAUAUGUCGCGGGGUAGAAGGUGGCUUGUACUCGUACAUGCUAUCACUUGAGGAUGAGCCCAUGGCCUAUCAGCUUGUUGGUGAGGUAAGAGCUUACCAAGGCUAUGACGGGUAGCUGGUCUGAGAGGACGACCAGCCACACUGGGACUGAGACACGGCCCAGACUCCUACGGGAGGCAGCAGUGGGGAAUAUUGGGCAAUGGGCGAAAGCCUGACCCAGCGACGCCGCGUGGGUGAUGAAGGCCUUCGGGUUGUAAAGCCCUUUCGUGCGGAAAGGACAGCCCUGAGUUGAAUAUGCUCAGGGUUUGACGGUACCGCAGGAAGAAGCACCGGCUAACUCCGUGCCAGCAGCCGCGGUAAUACGGAGGGUGCAAGCGUUGUUCGGAAUUAUUGGGCGUAAAGGGCGCGCAGGCGGUUGUG